AUGAACGCUGGCGGCGUGCCUAAUCCAUGCAAGUCGAGCGAACAGAUGAGGAGCUUGCUCCUCUGACGUUAGCGGCGGACGGGUGAGUAACACGUGGAUAACCUACCUAUAAGACUGGGAUAACUUCGGGAAACCGGAGCUAAAACCGGAUAAUAUAUUGAACCGCAUGGUUCCAUAGUGAAAGACGGUUUUGCUGUCACUUAUAGAUGGAUCCGCGCCGCAUUAGCUAGUUGGUAAGGUAACGGCUUACCAAGGCAACGAUGCGUAGCCGACCUGAGAGGGUGAUCGGCCACACUGGAACUGAGACACGGUCCAGACUCCUACGGGAGGCAGCAGUAGGGAAUCUUCCGCAAUGGGCGAAAGCCUGACGGAGCAACGCCGCGUGAGUGAUGAAGGUCUUCGGAUCGUAAAACUCUGUUAUUAGGGAAGAACAAAUGUGUAAGUAACUAUGCACGUCUUGACGGUACCUAAUCAGAAAGCCACGGCUAACUACGUG
Molecule: ribosomal RNA, 496 nt
Filed under: uncultured bacterium
Lineage: Bacteria
Description: partial 16S ribosomal RNA
Rfam family: Bacterial small subunit ribosomal RNA
Source: RNAcentral